This 441-nucleotide ribosomal RNA is filed under the name uncultured bacterium. RNAcentral describes it as "partial 16S ribosomal RNA". It matches the Rfam family "Bacterial small subunit ribosomal RNA", at positions 338 to 795 of the family's 1533-position model. The record is from RNAcentral.
CCUACGGGCGGCAGCAGUGGGGAAUAUUGCGCAAUGGGGGAAACCCUGACGCAGCAACGCCGCGUGAGUGAAGACGUAUCUCGGUAUGUAAAGCUCUAUCAGCGGGGAAGAAGGAAGACGGUACCCGACUAAGAGGCCCCGGCUAACUACGUGCCACCAGCCGCGGUAAUACGGAGGGGGCAAGCGUUAUCCGGAUUUACUGGGUGUAAAGGGAGCGUAGAGGGGGUCGCAAGUCUGAAGUGAAAGCCCGUGGCUCAACCGCGGAACCGCAUUGGAAACUGGGUGGCUUGAGUGCUGGAGAGGUAAGCGGAAUGCCUGGUGUAGCGGUGAAAUGCGUAGAUAUCAGGAGGAACACCGGUGGCGAAGGCGGCUUACUGGACAGUGACUGACGUUGAGGCUCGAAAGCGUGGGGAGCGAACAGGAUUAGAUACCCGAGUAGUC